This is a non-coding RNA of Rhamnusium bicolor, 75 nucleotides long. Lineage: Eukaryota; Metazoa; Arthropoda; Insecta; Coleoptera; Cerambycidae. The record is from the annotation of a GenBank genome assembly.
GUCUGCUGGGUGGCUCAGUGCUUACACGUUGGGCUUGAGACCGAGGGGUUCCAGGUUCGAAUCCUGGCUGGGACA